Molecule: small nuclear RNA, 87 nt
Filed under: Tupaia belangeri (northern tree shrew)
Lineage: Eukaryota; Metazoa; Chordata; Mammalia; Scandentia; Tupaiidae
Description: U4 spliceosomal RNA (ENSTBEG00000021295.1)
Rfam family: U4 spliceosomal RNA
About the family: U4 small nuclear RNA (U4 snRNA) is a component of the major U2-dependent spliceosome. The structure of U4 snRNA from yeast and human has been reported.
Source: RNAcentral
AGCUUUGUGCAGUGGCAGUAUCAUAGUCAAUGAGGUUUAUCUGAGGCUCAAUUAUUGCUAAUUGAAAUUUUAACUGUCUUUCCUGCC